CUGGAAAGUCUGACAAGCUUAAAGAGAAGUCAUGCAUAUUUCACUCAGGUCCAAAUGCAGAUGUUUGUUACCAAACGGAUGUAUGCAGACUUCAUCACUUGGACUCCUCAGACCUGCCUGAUAUUCAGAGUACAAAGAGAUGAGGACUUCAUCAGUGGUGCCAUUAAUGUGAUGCAAACAUUUUGGUCACAACACAUACUACACAAACUUCGGGAGCUGAAAGAUGCACAGUCUCUUCACCAGGCGCAGAGGAAGUGGGCCAUCCAGAAUGUGGUACUGGCUCUUCAGGGCACCAAUGACUCUCUGCAGACCACAGAUCACAUAUUUGUUGUUAAAAUGCUGUUUAUCUACAUUGUUAUGUUUGAGUUUCACAGGAGUAGCACAGUUGACCGUUAUAUCAUAUCGUCAGUGCAUUGUGUCCUAUAAUUAGUGUUUCUUUUUCAUGUUAAAGUGAAGAAAGAUCCCUGUUAACUUCCUGUUAUCCUGUUCUCUUGAUAUUGCACUAAAUGUGAACAACAGUUCAAUGUAUUUAAAUAUAGAAUAACAUGUUUUUAAGAUAAAAUGUUAUCUUAAGACACCCUACAAAGUAGGGAUUACACAUGUACUCGUUGAUGUGAUUAAUUGAAUAACGUCUCAGCACUUGUUAACCCGGAUCUGUACU
Long non-coding RNA from Gymnodraco acuticeps, 661 nucleotides. RefSeq lists it as uncharacterized. Lineage: Eukaryota; Metazoa; Chordata; Actinopteri; Perciformes; Bathydraconidae. The record is from RefSeq and is a predicted model, not a curated record. The transcript has 3 exons.